This is a long non-coding RNA of Peromyscus eremicus (cactus mouse), 1088 nucleotides long. RefSeq lists it as uncharacterized. Lineage: Eukaryota; Metazoa; Chordata; Mammalia; Rodentia; Cricetidae. The transcript has 2 exons. The record is from RefSeq and is a predicted model, not a curated record.
UAAUCACCUUGGCAAACAUGGAAAGUUCCCAUUGGAAGAUUCCCUAGUAGGGAGGAAGUUCUACCCAUCAGGCUUUCAGUAUGUCCAGCCCUAAUGGCAAAGCUAAGCCUGGAGGACACAGAGAGUUUUAGGGAAAGACCUGUGAGUUUUCGGGUACUUUUGGCAAGCCCACUGAUAAGAUGAGAUGGGUGCCCCAGGAAGCCUUAACCUGAUCCAGGAACACUGCCUUGAGACACAGCCCCAUUCUGAUUCUUCGGUCACCUGGCAACCUCCUGAUUGUGAUCCUGUCUCUCAAGUGACUCUGCCAACCUGGGAGACAACAUUGUUCCUACAAGCUUUGGCCAUUUGAUGAUGCUUGGUGAACUAAUGGCCCCUGAUCAGGCCAAUCUCCUAUUUUGGAUUACUAUAAAGUGAAAGGAUCCUGCUUCUGUGUUAUUUAAAGUAGCCUGAAGUGAUCUCAUAGGACCUGGCUACUCCAGGGCAGUGGCUGAAAUAGCAAGUAUGUGCCUUCAAUUGGACCCUAGAUCUAAGACCCAGGAGCUUGCCUCACUCCAGUUUCUACAAACAAAAAGCCACCAUUUCCCAAUUAACUUUCUCCUAGCAUUUAAGAAGCUACCGGUAAAUUAACUGAAUAAGGUGUAUGAACAUUCUUAUGAACUAAAACCACACUCACUGGAUUGGGAUGCCGCAGCUGCAUGUCUCCUGUCUACCUUCUCUGUCUGUGGAGCUCUGGGCCCUGGAAGUGAUUCCUUCAAGAAUUACCAACCAACCUCAGGACUGCAGUUGGAUUCUACCAAAGAGAGGAGUUACAUCAGAGAAGAUGGGAGGAUGAAGUGGAGGCCUUUAUUCCCAUCAUCCCUGCAGGGUAGAAAUGGUUCCUGACACCUAAGUGCUAUGCUUCUGCAGAGAAGCCCCCCCAUAGGCCCUACCUACUGCUUCUGGAGCCCUGACUCCUCCCAUGCCCCCCUCAAUCUAGGACUGUGGUUUCCCGGGGUGCUGACCCCAGUGGGCUUAUCAUCCCUAGUUGGCUUUUCUUUGCCCUGCUGUAUCUUUCUAAAUAGUUUCUUUAUUAAACAACUUCCUAAUUA